GCGUCCCUCGACUUCCCCCCGCGGUCUCUCUUUCUUUGCCCGUUCUUUUCUUCCUCCUUCACAGGACUACGCGGCGAAUCUCUGGCGAGUCACGGCCCCAUCGUCUUCCUCUGGUUUCUCCGGUGUCCCUCCACCCGCCAUCCUCCACGUCCGACGCCACUGCCUGCUCUCUUCCGUUUUCCCGGCACCGCUGUGCUCGGCCCACCCAUAGAUUCUUUAGAUUUUCUCUUCCUCUUUUCAUCCGUUUUGACCAGAUCGAGGGAAAUCAAGAAUCCUCUAGAUUUAUUCAGAUCAAUUUCAUCGUUCUCCAUCUCCUUCGUCUUCUCGCUGCCCGAGCUCCUUUCUAGCCGAUUCAUAUCUAGAUCCUGUGCCCGUACCGCCUCCUAUGGUCACCGGGUAAGGGUACUGUGGAGGUCUGGGUUCCUUGACUCAGCAACUUGCUCUUAUGAGGCACAGAGGCGGCGACGCGGAAUGUGUCAUUGCCGGCGACGGGGUGCGAUUGGGGGCAACAUGCGGAGGGGUGGAGUCCUUGGAGGGGACGAGGUCGAGUGGCUGAGCUUGGUCCCCGCGUUUGCCUCCAGCGAGAAGAGUAUUGUGGGUGGCACAGCGGCGGGGAGAACCUGCUGCGGAUUCUAGACGUGCGUGUGCCUUUUCACGCCUCCCGUCGGUUUUCCUUGCCCUCCACCUCGCCGCGGCGGUCGCCUGUCGUCGUCUUCUGGUGGCUGUGGAGUAUAGAGGAUCCUGCUUCCUUAGAGCUGUUCGCUGAGACGACCACCUCCUGGUGAAUCCAGAGGAGCAGAUGCCGCGCGCCUGGACCGUGCUUGACGCGGACCGGAUAGGGGUCGCCCCGUGGCAGGCUGGCAGCGCCGACGUAUACUUCCGCUACCUGCCUGGAAAUCGAAGCGGAACCCCAAGUGCGUCGAUCAGACGCCAAAUCCAUGGAGGAAAUGGAGCAGAGGCGGCCCCACUUUGUCGAAAUUCUCAGGCAAGCCUCCAUCCAGUACGACGACCCCCAUCCUCAGUUAGCGUGGACACGCCCGCUCCGUAUCCUAGCCAAGGCGGCUGGUGCAGGCACAGAAGGGGUCGACAGGUUGUUGCGGUGGUGUAGUGCCGCUGCGACCAAGGAUGUUGGCGGUCAAAGGUGACAGUGUGGAGGGGCUCGAGCUUGCGGGACGGUGCGCCGCCAAGGUGGUGUUGAGCACUUUAAAACAAUUUUCAAUCGAAUCAGCCACCUCCGUCGCCUUGCAAAUUUCCGUAGGCUCAAACACUUUUCGGAGCACUUCAUGUCUUACAGACAUUUAGCCAAUUGUGUUACUUUGAUUUCACAUCAAGGCUUGAAAUCAUUCGGCUAUGUGGAUGAUUACUGAUAGGCCUAAAUUUCCUGACCGGGUUCUUCUCAUAGAUGAUUUUGUAUUAGAACAAUAUGAAACAGAGAUUACAACUGAAUCAACCCCAUUUUCCGUUUCACUUGCAAGACACCUACACACUGUUAUGUGGUUCUGAGAUGUAUGGAGCGUUUUGGUGUUCUCAUUACAAUGAGCAAAAACUGACCAAAAAGUGCUAAAUAUGCAAGUCUUGACGCUAAAAGAUUUAUCAUCCCAAGAUUCAACUGGAAGGUUCUUGUGUGUGCUGCUCGAAUAUGAAAGUGUAGGCAUCAGAAAAACAAAGCAGAACUUAUAUGAGCUAGAGUUUAUUGUCGAUGAGGCUGAAGAUCAAAGAAGAAGCACAUAUCAGGCGUGCCACCAAGGAGUAGGUUAUCCCCAACACGGUUGGCAAAGGCAUGGAAAUUAGCCUCCUUUUCUCUGACAAACAAGAGGUGACUUUGGUAAAUACUGAUUGCCCUCCAAGUAGAAAUAAUAAGGUUUUCCAAAAAUUGUGUUCUAUGUUUUUACGUCCCAGAUACCAAGUGUAAUGUGCAUACGAUGGCUUCCAGGGAUUGCAUAGUCAGUUUUUAUCUUUGAUGGUGUAAUAAAAGUUGUGACGAGAUCCCAUACA
Long non-coding RNA from Lolium perenne, 1995 nucleotides. RefSeq lists it as uncharacterized. The record is from RefSeq and is a predicted model, not a curated record. NCBI's taxonomy places the organism in Eukaryota, Viridiplantae, Streptophyta, Magnoliopsida, Poales, Poaceae.